AGAGCGAACGCUGGCGGCAUGCUUAACACAUGCAAGUCACACGGGCAUUUCGGUGUCAGUGGCGGACGGGUGAGUAUCGCGUAGGGAUUUAUCGUUGGGUGGGGGAUAACCCUGGGAAACUGGGGCUAAUACCGCAUGACGCCUGUGGGCCAAAGCAGCAAUGCGCCUGAUGAGGAGCCUGCGUUCGAUUAGCUUGUUGGUGGGGUUAUGGCCUACCAAGGCGACGAUCGAUAGCUGGUCUGAGAGGAUGAUCAGCCACACUGGGACUGAGACACGGCCCAGACUCCUACGGGAGGCAGCAGUGGGGAAUAUUGGACAAUGGGCGCAAGCCUGAUCCAGCAAUGCCGCGUGGAUGAAGAAGGUUUUCGGAUUGUAAAGUCCUUUCGGCGGGGACGAUGAUGACGGUACCCGCAGAAGAAGCCCCGGCUAACUUCGUGCCAGCAGCCGCGGUAA
RNAcentral lists this ribosomal RNA (453 nucleotides) under uncultured bacterium. RNAcentral describes it as "SSU rRNA". It matches the Rfam family "Bacterial small subunit ribosomal RNA", at positions 26 to 523 of the family's 1533-position model. The record is from RNAcentral.